GCAGACUUGCGUCUUAAGAGCCGAGCUCCCGGAAAAAGAAAUUCUUGGCCCUUUUAAGGGCUUACACCUCUAAGGGGCCCACGUGAAAGGGUCAUGAUAAAUCGAACAAGCAUGGGGAACGUGACUGGGGGCUACAUGAAUCAGCUAACAGAACAGAAAAUUUUGCAAUGCUUUUUCCUACAAUGUCUGGAAUUUACAGAUAAUACAAGUAGUUUAAGUCAGGGGUCGAUAUUAUUAUUAUUACUUUUUUUAACUACCAGGGCCAGGUGGUGGUGCCAAGGUCUUCUGGCUAUUUAUCUUACUUCUGUUUUUUUUUUUUUUUUUUCUAACUUUUUGCUUUCUCUCUUUCCUCCUGUCUUGUAAACUAGGCAAGGUCGGGGGAGGAGGGCAGCAAGAGUAGUAGUGGUCUCCUUCCUUACUGGGACCACGCUCUGAAGACCAUUCAUCCAAGCAAGCCCCUUUGUCUAGCAAACACCUUCUGCUCCUUCAAGUCUCAUCUGAAGCACCACCUCCUCCAGGAAGCCUCCCUGACGUUCCUGCCUGGGUAGCCGCUCCAUGGGGCUCCCACAGCACACCACUGUCACACUGCACUGUCACCAUCCGCUGCUUCUCAAUGUCCUUGACUGAACUGGUAGCUCCUCGAGGGACAGGAUGAACCAGUCACACAGCUCCUCUCCAAAGAGCUCCCAGCAGAGAAGGCAGCUGGGAGCGAGGAAGGAGGGAGCAGCAGGUGCUUCGAGCGCCACUGGGUGGCCGACACCUGCCAGGCACCUCACACGCUCCGCUGCAGUUCAUCCUGCACUUUACUUACCCUUGAGUCCCCCUAUCUCUGAUCAUUGUCACUGGUUCCUAGGAAACUGACACUCGGGUCACAAAACUUGUCCAAGGUGUCACAGAACAAAUAAAGGACAAAGCCAGGGACCAAACUAAAGUCAACCUCUGCCUUUCUACAAUGCCAGGCUGCUCACCGUCAAGCAACUUGGCGGUGUCACCGAACUCUGCACCGGUGUACUGAGGUGAACAGCAUCCCCCAAAAUUCAUGUCCUUCCCAGGACCUCAGAAUCCAGCCUUCUUUGCAAAUCAGAUCAUUGUGAAAGUUCUAAGUUAAAACGGGGUCAUGCUGGGGUAGGGAGGGUCCUUAAUUCAAUAUGACUUGUGUCCUUCUGAGACACAGAGGCACAUGGGGGGCCAAGUGACAACAGAGGCAGCGAUUGGAGUGCAGGGCCACAGGCGGAGGAAGGCCGCCAACCACCGGAGCUGGGGACGGGCAGGGAACAGAGUCCUGCUCUGAGGCCCCAGAAGGAGCAACCCUGAUGACGCCUUCAUUUCUGCCUUCUCGGCUCCAGAACCAAGAGGGAGCCCAUUGCUGGUGUUUUCGGCCCUCCAGUUUGUGGUGAUUUGUUCCACAGCCCCUAAAAAACAAAUACUACCGGUUGGGAAUACUCAGUCACCAGCAACAAGAAUCCCCACAGCGUCUCCACGUGGCUGCACGUAGCCGAGGGAGAUCACGCCCAGGAUUCCUGCAGGAAGAAAGCAGACGGCUGAGAGCCUCCUCUUUGUAUUCGGCAAGACCAGGCUCCGUAGCCCUCAGGGAAACAUUCGACCACAACUGUGGUGUGUGGGCCCCGCUGUUUGCUAGAGAGCCUGAGAGAUGAGUCAUUGGUUUCUAGCCUGGAGAAAGACGCCUGCGAGGCGAGACUGUCAGGGUCUCUGCCGCCCUCCCCAGGAGCUGUGUCCCUGAGGUGAGACGCCACCCCUGCCCUCACAGCUACCCGGUGCAUGACCCCUGUGUCCAGCCUGUCCCUGAGAAACUGAUUUCCUCACCUCUCUCAGCCUCCUCCCUCAUCAAAUAUUUGUCGGAGGCAUUAUCAAGGAUCAAACCGGUUUGAUCCAGUGCAGUGCAGGAAACGCGGGCAGGGUGGAGGGGCCUGGGCUUGUUGACCAAGUUCCUCGCUGUGAGCCUCGGUUUCCCCUUCUGCAAAGUGUGGAGAUCUCAUCAGGUGAUGAGUGAGGCCCCUCCUCCUCCUUCAGUUUCCUGCUCCUGCCCAGGCCUCCGCCAGCUCCCAGUGUCCUUGGGCGAGUGCUGCGGGGACCCUGAACCGCACAUGGCUGGGGGCUCCUCACCCUGCAGCCCCUCACUGCCUCACCGUGCACAUCCGCGUCUCACACCAGCGGCCAUGUGGGCCUCAAAAGGGCAAACCUGACGGUGCCUCUUGUGGCUGAUAACUCUCCAGACCAUUGACCUGGCACAACAGGAUCACCUGGGAGGUGCUGGGCCAGCCCAGCCACUGAACGGGCAGCUCUGCCUGGGUGCGGCCCAGCAAGAGCUAGUUCUUAAAAUCACCUAGGAGCUCGGACGUGUGGCUGGCUCUGCGAGGCCCAGAACUACAGGAUCAAGCCCCUGAGGGGCCUUCCCUGCCCAGCACAGGGACUGGAGAGCUUGGAUCAACUUACAGCUCCCACCUGCUUGGGCCGGUGCUGGAUCCUGGGCUACACUCGAGGGGCCGUCUGUCGCAUCUGCUGAGCACAGAUGUCUGGAGAAGGCCCCAUCUGAUCCAGAUUCCAGAGGACAGAGGAGUCACUUCCAGAGCUGUUCCCAUGACACUCAGGACAGGCUGGGCAGGCCAAGCCUCACCUGCCCCACUGCAUAGCUUGUGUUUUCCUGAAACCUCCUGAUCCCCACCUGGGCCCGACUGACUGGGGAUGUCUCCUGCCUGCCCAUCUCCGUGGUGAUAGGGCGGCCUUGCCGAAACAAGGCCACAUCCUGGCCUUCCCGGGGGUUGACUGCUGGGCCCCUUCCUGUCAGCGGUUGCUCUUUACCCUGGUUAACAUGUAGAAGCUCGUGGUUCGAGCUCUUCAUCUGGCCUCUUUUUUUUUUUUUUUUUUUGAGACAGAGUCUGGCUGUCGCCCAGGAUGGAGUGCAGUGGUGCGAUCUCAGCUCACUGCAACCUCCACCUCCCAGGCUUAAACGAUUCUCCUGCCUCAGCCUCCCGAGUAGCUGGGAUUACAGGCACGCGCCACCAUGCCUGGCUAAUUUUUGUACUUUUAGUAGAGACAGGGUUUUGCAUGUUGGCCAGGCUGGUCUCGAACUCCUGAUCUGAAGUGAUCCACCUGCCUUGGCCUCCCAAAGUGCUGGGAUUACAGGCGUGAGCCACUCCCAGCUGCCUCAAGGGCAA
RNAcentral lists this long non-coding RNA (3176 nucleotides) under Homo sapiens (human). Its description in RNAcentral is "non-protein coding lnc-S100P-2:17". Lineage: Eukaryota; Metazoa; Chordata; Mammalia; Primates; Hominidae. The record is from RNAcentral.